GCCAGGCAUGGUGGCGUGCACCUGUAAUCCCAGCUACUUAGGAGGCUGAGGCAGGAGAAUUGCUUGAGCCCAGGAGGCAGAGGUUGCAGUGAGCCAAGAUCUUGCCACUGCACUCCAGCCUGGGCGACAGAGCAAGACUCCGUCUCAA
RNAcentral lists this small RNA (148 nucleotides) under Macaca mulatta (Rhesus monkey). RNAcentral describes it as "Metazoan signal recognition particle RNA (ENSMMUG00000061199.1)". RNAcentral also lists the same sequence under 1 other name. Lineage: Eukaryota; Metazoa; Chordata; Mammalia; Primates; Cercopithecidae. The record is from Rfam by way of RNAcentral.